GUGCCAGCAGCCGCGGUAAUACGAAGGGUCCAAGCGUUAUCCGGAUUUAUUGGGUUUAAAGGGUGCGUAGGCGGGUUGUUAAGUCAGUGGUGAAAUCUUGCAGCUUAACUGUAAAAUUGCCAUUGAUACUGACGAUCUUGAGUACACUUGAAGUGGGCGGAAUAUGUCAUGUAGAGGUGAAAUUCUUAGAGAUGACAUAGAACACCGAUUGCGAAGGCAGCUCACUAAAUUGUAACUGACGCUGAGGCACGAAAGCGUGGGGAUCAAACAGGAUUAGAUACCCGGGUAGUCC
Molecule: ribosomal RNA, 292 nt
Filed under: uncultured bacterium
Lineage: Bacteria
Description: partial 16S ribosomal RNA
Rfam family: Bacterial small subunit ribosomal RNA
Source: RNAcentral